RNAcentral lists this transfer RNA (70 nucleotides) under Numida meleagris (helmeted guineafowl). RNAcentral's name for it is "tRNA-Phe". It matches the Rfam family "tRNA". Rfam says of the family: Transfer RNA (tRNA) molecules are approximately 80 nucleotides in length. Their secondary structure includes four short double-helical elements and three loops (D, anti-codon, and T loops). Lineage: Eukaryota; Metazoa; Chordata; Aves; Galliformes; Numididae. The record is from RNAcentral.
GCCCACAUAGCUUAACCAUCAAAGCAUGGCACUGAAGAUGCCAAGACGGUACUCAUAUUACCUGGGGGCA